This is a long non-coding RNA of Bubalus bubalis (water buffalo), 411 nucleotides long. RefSeq lists it as uncharacterized. The transcript is spliced from 2 exons. The record is from RefSeq and is a predicted model, not a curated record. Lineage: Eukaryota; Metazoa; Chordata; Mammalia; Artiodactyla; Bovidae.
GAUUACAGUUGACUUCCCUUAAGACUGGCUGGUUUGACCUCUUUGCUGUCCAAGGGGCUCUUGGGAGUCUUCUCCAGCACCACAGCUGCUGCUGCUGCUGCCAGGUCGCUUCAGGCGUGUCCGACUCUGUGUGACCCCAUGGACGGCAGCCCACCAGGCUCCCCCGUCCCUGGGAUUCUCCAGGAGAGGUCAAAUUCUAGGCCAUAAAACAGGUCUCAAUAAAUUUAAGAAGACUGAAAUCAGAUCAAGCAUUCUAUCUGACUACGAUGCUAUGAGACUAGAAAUCUACUAAAAGGAAAAAAACCUACAAACAUGUGGAAACUAAAUAGUGUGCUAUGAAAUAACCAGUGGGUCACUGAAGAAAUUAAACUGGAGAUUAAAAAAAAAAAAGAAACACAAGGAUACAAAAAU